This 644-nucleotide ribosomal RNA is filed under the name Mucor moelleri. Its description in RNAcentral is "partial 18S ribosomal RNA". The stretch from base 260 to 411 matches the Rfam family "5.8S ribosomal RNA". The record is from RNAcentral. Lineage: Eukaryota; Fungi; Mucoromycota; Mucoromycetes; Mucorales; Mucoraceae.
UAGAGACCAGUGUCGCAGCAACGUGAAGAAGCGGAAGGAUCAUUAAAUAAUUUGAUAUUCUAGCCCUCGGCUAGUAAUAUUUUAUUUACUGUGAACUGUAUUAUUAUUUGGCGUUUGAGGAAUGUUUGCUGGCUAUAUGGGUAAGCCAACAGAAUGUUAACCGAGCCAUAAUCAGACUUAGGUCUGGUACCCAGAUUAUUAUUUACCAAAAGAAUUCAGUAUAAAUAUUGUAACAUAGACGUAAGAAAUCUAUAAAAACAACUUUUAACAACGGAUCUCUUGGUUCUCGCAUCGAUGAAGAACGUAGCAAGUGCGAUAACUAGUGUGAAUUGCAUAUUCAGUGAAUCAUCGAGUCUUUGAACGCAUCUUGCACUCAUUGGUAUUCCAAUGAGUACGCCUGUUUCAGUAUCAAAAACACCCCACAUUCAAAACUUGUGUUUGAAUGGAAUUGAGGGCAAACGGCUUUACUGCUGUUCCCUUUAAAACUAUUAGGCCUGAAUUUGUCUGUUCUGCCUGAACUUUUUUUUAAUAUAAAGGAAAGCUCUUGCUAAUAAGACUCUCUUGGGGCCUCUCAAAUAAAUCUUUCUUAAAUUUGAUCUGAAAUCAGGCGGGAUUACCCGCUGAACUUAAGCAUAUCAAUAAGC